This 431-nucleotide ribosomal RNA is filed under the name uncultured bacterium. RNAcentral describes it as "partial 16S ribosomal RNA". It matches the Rfam family "Bacterial small subunit ribosomal RNA", at positions 29 to 505 of the family's 1533-position model. The record is from RNAcentral.
AACGAACGCUGGCGGCAGGCCUAACACAUGCAAGUCGAGCGAGGACUUCGGUCCUAGCGGCGGACGGGUGAGUAACGCGUGGGAACGUGCCCUUUGCUUCGGAAUAGCCCUGGGAAACUGGGAGUAAUACCGGAUGAGCCCUUUGGGGGAAAGAUUUAUCGGCGAAGGAUCGGCCCGCGUUGGAUUAGGUAGUUGGUGGGGUAAUGGCCUACCAAGCCGACGAUCCAUAGCUGGUUUGAGAGGAUGAUCAGCCACACUGGGACUGAGACACGGCCCAGACUCCUACGGGAGGCAGCAGUGGGGAAUCUUAGACAAUGGGGGAAACCCUGAGCUAGCCAUGCCGCGUGAGCGAUGAAGGCCUUAGGGUUGUAAAGCUCUUUCAGCUGGGAAGAUAAUGACGGUACCAGCAGAAGAAGCCCCGGCUAACUCCG